GCGGAAGUAACUCAAUUGGUAGAGUGACAGCCUUCCAAGCUGUAGGUUGCGGGUUCGAGUCCCGUCCUCCGCU
Molecule: transfer RNA, 73 nt
Filed under: Dunaliella salina
Lineage: Eukaryota; Viridiplantae; Chlorophyta; Chlorophyceae; Chlamydomonadales; Dunaliellaceae
Description: tRNA-Gly
Rfam family: tRNA
About the family: Transfer RNA (tRNA) molecules are approximately 80 nucleotides in length. Their secondary structure includes four short double-helical elements and three loops (D, anti-codon, and T loops).
Source: RNAcentral